RNAcentral lists this long non-coding RNA (254 nucleotides) under Lathyrus oleraceus (garden pea). Its description in RNAcentral is "Pisum sativum (pea) long non-coding RNA (PSAT_LNC029862)". The record is from RNAcentral. Lineage: Eukaryota; Viridiplantae; Streptophyta; Magnoliopsida; Fabales; Fabaceae.
AAUUCCUAAAAAAUAUCAAAUGAUAAAAUAAAAAAUAUUAAAAGUCAUUUUUAGAAACUAGAAAUUAAAAGAAGAAAAAAUAAAUUGGUUUCACAUUUUUUGGACCAAUGAUGAAGGAGAUAUGAAUUUUUAAAAUGAAAUGGAAUUAAAAGAAAUAAAAGUAAAAUUAAAUCAUAAUUAAAAAAAAAAGUGAAAAUGCGUGGACCGUCUGAUGAGAUUUCAUUAAUUAAGCUGGAUCAUCACGUGGCCAGGAA